CAGAAAGUAGUUUUAUAAUGAUAAUUUUGGAGAUUAUAGAUGAUUGAAAAGUCCUUUCUGA
This 61-nucleotide transfer RNA is filed under the name Metacrangonyx sp. 3 ssp. 1 MDMBR-2012. RNAcentral's name for it is "transfer RNA Proline". The record is from RNAcentral. Lineage: Eukaryota; Metazoa; Arthropoda; Malacostraca; Amphipoda; Metacrangonyctidae.